GACGAACGCUGGCGGCGUGCUUAACACAUGCAAGUCGAACGGAAAGGCCCUGCUUGCAGGGUACUCGAGUGGCGAACGGGUGAGUAACACGUGGGUGAUCUGCCCUGCACUUCGGGAUAAGCCUGGGAAACUGGGUCUAAUACCGGAUAGGAGCCAUUUUUAGUGUGAUGGUUGGAAAGUUUUUUCGGUGUAGGAUGAGCGCGCGGCCUAUCAGCUUGUUGGUGGGGUAAUGGCCUACCAAGGCGGCGACGGGUAGCCGGCCUGAGAGGGUGGACGGCCACAUUGGGACUGAGAUACGGCCCAGACUCCUACGGGAGGCAGCAGUGGGGAAUAUUGCACAAUGGGCGCAAGCCUGAUGCAGCGACGCCGCGUGGGGGAUGACGGCCUUCGGGUUGUAAACUCCUUUCGCUAGGGACGAAGCUUUUUGUGACGGUACCUAGAUAAGAAGCACCGGCUAACUACGUG
Molecule: ribosomal RNA, 465 nt
Filed under: uncultured bacterium
Lineage: Bacteria
Description: partial 16S ribosomal RNA
Rfam family: Bacterial small subunit ribosomal RNA
Source: RNAcentral